GACGAACGCUGGCGGCGUGCUUAACACAUGCAAGUCGAACGCUGAAGCUCAGCUUUUGUUGGGUGGAUGAGUGGCGAACAGGUGAGUAACACGUGAGUAACCUGCCCCCUUCUUUGGGAUAACGCCCGGAAACGGGUGCUAAUACUGGAUAUUCACUGGUCUUCGCAUGGGGGUUGGUGGAAAGGGUUUUUCUGGUGGGGGAUGGGCUCGCGGCCUAUCAGCUUGUUGGUGGGGUGAUGGCCUACCAAGGCUUUGACGGGUAGCCGGCCUGAGAGGGUGACCGGUCACAUUGGGACUGAGAUACGGCCCAGACUCCUACGGGAGGCAGCAGUGGGGAAUAUUGCACAAUGGGCGCAAGCCUGAUGCAGCGACGCCGCGUGAGGGAUGGAGGCCUUCGGGUUGUGAACCUCUUUCGCUCAUGGUCAAGCCGCAACAAUGGUUGUGGUGAGGGUAGUGGGUAAAGAAGCGCCGGCUAACUACGUG
Molecule: ribosomal RNA, 483 nt
Filed under: uncultured bacterium
Lineage: Bacteria
Description: partial 16S ribosomal RNA
Rfam family: Bacterial small subunit ribosomal RNA
Source: RNAcentral